This 407-nucleotide long non-coding RNA is filed under the name Androctonus crassicauda. Lineage: Eukaryota; Metazoa; Arthropoda; Arachnida; Scorpiones; Buthidae. The record is from RNAcentral.
GAAGCAGCACAGGUUGCCAUAAUGGCUCUAGAGAAAGUGUCAUUUGAGAGACUGUUACGUAGGCUAGUAAUGACCCUUCUGAAGAGUGAAGCCACCUAGUUCUACCUUAGGUGUAGUAGAGUUGAUGAAGGGGAGGAUGACCUGGGAGCGUCAGCCUAGGGCUUGCCUGCUUCUUCCUGGUGUCUCGUUUAGCCAGGUGGUAGUUCUUACCUGAAUUAGAGGUAUCGGCCAUUUCCCAGACCCUCUCGGUGGAGCCCUGAGCCAUUCUGCAAACUUUGCGCUAUUGAGAAUCCCUGCUCUAAAUGUCCUCCUUCCUCCUGGAAAUAAAAAACUGCCCAGCGGUAGAGCACUUGCCUAGCAAGCGCAAGGCCCUGGGUUCGGUCCCCAGCUCUGGAAAAAAAAAAAAG